RNAcentral lists this ribosomal RNA (692 nucleotides) under uncultured Glissomonadida. RNAcentral's name for it is "SSU rRNA". It matches the Rfam family "Eukaryotic small subunit ribosomal RNA", at positions 494 to 1179 of the family's 1831-position model. Lineage: Eukaryota; Cercozoa; Glissomonadida. The record is from RNAcentral.
UUUUAGGUCUGAUAAUUGGAAUGAGUACAAUUUAAAUCCCUUAACGAGGAUCAAUUGGAGGGCAAGUCUGGUGCCAGCAGCCGCGGUAAUUCCAGCUCCAAUAGCGUAUAUUAAAGUUGCUGCAGUUAAAAAGCUCGUAGUUGGAUUUCUGGUUUUAAUUGACUUAGCCCGCUACGGUUACGUAUGUGUGUGCUGAUGUUAAUUGACCAUCCUUCUAGAGAACAUUGUUCUACUCUUCAUUGAGCAUGAAUAUGCAAUCUAGAUCUUUUACUUUGAAAAAAUUAGAGUGUUUAAAGCAGGCAAUAUUGCUAUGAAUACAUUAGCAUGGAAUAAUAAUUUAGGACUUUGGCUCUAUUUUGUUGGUUUCUAGGACUGAAGUAAUGAUUGAUAGGGAUAGUUGGGGGUGCUAGUAUUCANUGGCCAGAGGUGAAAUUCUCGGAUUCACUGAAGACUAACUUAUGCGAAAGCAUUCACCAAGGAUGUCUUCUUUAAUCAAGAACGAAAGUUGGGGGAUCGAAGACGAUCAGAUACCGUCGUAGUCUCAACUAUAAACUAUGCCGACUAGGGAUGAGUGAACGUUGCAUUUUCGACUUCAUUCGAACCUUAUGAGAAAUCAAAGUCUUUGGGUUCCGGGGGGAGUAUGAUCGCAGGUUGAAACUUAAAGGAUUGACGGAAGGCACCACCAGGAGUGG